CGGGGGGGGUAAGCGUUGUUCGGAAUUACUGGGCGUAAAGGGCUCGUAGGCGGCCAACUAAGUCAUACGUGAAAUCCCUCAGCUUAACUGGGGAACUGCGUGUGAUACUGGAUGGCUUGGAUUUGGGAGAGGGAUGCGGAAUUCCAGGUGUAGCGGUGAAAUGCGUAGAUAUCUGGAGGAACACCGGUGGCGAAGGCGGCAUCCUGGACCAAUAUUGACGCUGAGGAGCGAAAGCCAGGGGAGCAAACGGGAUUAGAUACCCCGGUAGUCCUGGCCCUAAACGAUGAAUGCUUGGUGUAGCGGGUAUCGAUCCCUGCUGUGCCGAAGCUAACGCAUUAAGCAUUCCGCCUGGGGAUACGGUCGCAAGGCUG
Molecule: ribosomal RNA, 371 nt
Filed under: uncultured organism
Description: bacterial SSU rRNA
Rfam family: Bacterial small subunit ribosomal RNA
Source: RNAcentral